GACGAACGCUGGCGGCGCGCCUAACACAUGCAAGUCGAACGGAGCUGAGAGAAGCUUGCUUUUCUUAGCUUAGUGGCGAACGGGUGAGUAACGCGUGAGUAACCUGCCCUGGAGUGGGGGACAACAGUUGGAAACGACUGCUAAUACCGCAUAAGCCCACGAUCCGGCAUCGGAUUGAGGGAAAAGGAUUUAUUCGCUUCAGGAUGGACUCGCGUCCAAUUAGCUAGUUGGUGAGGUAACGGCCCACCAAGGCGACGAUUGGUAGCCGGACUGAGAGGUUGAACGGCCACAUUGGGACUGAGACACGGCCCAGACUCCUACGGGAGGGAGCAGUGGGGGAUAUUGCACAAUGGGGGAAACCCUGAUGCAGCGACGCCGCGUGGAGGAAGAAGGUGUUCGGAUUGUAAACUCCUGUCGUUAGGGACGAUAAUGACGGUACCUAACAAGAAAGCACCGGCUAACUACGUG
Molecule: ribosomal RNA, 468 nt
Filed under: uncultured bacterium
Lineage: Bacteria
Description: partial 16S ribosomal RNA
Rfam family: Bacterial small subunit ribosomal RNA
Source: RNAcentral